RNAcentral lists this ribosomal RNA (495 nucleotides) under uncultured bacterium. RNAcentral's name for it is "partial 16S ribosomal RNA". It matches the Rfam family "Bacterial small subunit ribosomal RNA", at positions 28 to 505 of the family's 1533-position model. The record is from RNAcentral.
GAUGAACGCUGGCGGCGUGCCUAAUACAUGCAAGUCGAGCGAACAGAUGAGGAGCUUGCUCCUCUGACGUUAGCGGCGGACGGGUGAGUAACACGUGGAUAACCUACCUAUAAGACUGGGAUAACUUCGGGAAACCGGAGCUAAUACCGGAUAAUAUAUUGAACCGCAUGGUUCAAUAGUGAAAGACGGUUUUGCUGUCACUUAUAGAUGGAUCCGCGCCGCAUUAGCUAGUUGGUAAGGUAACGGCUUACCAAGGCAACGAUGCGUAGCCGACCUGAGAGGGUGACCGCCCACCCGGAACUGGGGACCGGGUCCAGCCCCUACGGGGAGCCGGAGGAGGGAAUUCUCCGGCAAGGGGGAAAGGCUUGAGGGGGCACCGCCGCGUGAGUGAGGAGGUUCUUGGGACGGAAAACCUUUUUUAUAAGGAAAAAAAAAUUGUUAAAGAAAUUAGCCCCGUCUGGAGGUACCUAAACAAGAAGCCCACGCUUACCUACG